AUUAAAGCAUGAGGUGUUUUGCUUUUAAAGUGAUAAAAAAGUUGUUUGUUAAUUACAUGCAAAUUAAAGAGACAAAAUAUGGCUGAAAUUCAAAAAAUUGUUUAUGCUUUCAUCAUCAUGAUUUCCGUAAUUCUAGGUCAACAUAGUUUAAUCCCCUGCAAAACUAAUAUGGAUUGUGCAAAGGAUGUAUGUCUCAAUUAUAAAUUUCCGACUUGUGUUGGGAAAAAAUGUUACUGCUUGUCCGCGUAACAAUUUAUUUAUACAUAAUUCUAUGUUGCUUUUGAUUAGCUUAUAAUUUGAUGUGUCUGUCAUAAUGUUUUUACUAUUAUGAAAUUCUCACACUUUGACUCAUGCUUUUAUGAUAUUUCAAUUUCUUUUGAUAAACUGAAAAUCGUGUUGUUGUUAUUAUUAUUAUUAUUAUUAUUAUUAUAUA
Molecule: long non-coding RNA, 433 nt
Organism: Medicago truncatula (barrel medic)
Lineage: Eukaryota; Viridiplantae; Streptophyta; Magnoliopsida; Fabales; Fabaceae
Exons: 2
Source: RefSeq, a predicted model, not a curated record